GUGGGGAAUCUUGCGCAAUGGGCGAAAGCCUGACGCAGCCAUGCCGCGUGAAUGAUGAAGGUCUUAGGAUUGUAAAAUUCUUUCACCGGGGACGAUAAUGACGGUACCCGGAGAAGAAGCUCCGGCUAACUUCGUGCCAGCAGCCGCGGUAAUACGAAGGGGGCUAGCGUUGCUCGGAAUUACUGGGCGUAAAGGGCGCGUAGGCGGACAGCUUAGUCAGAGGUGAAAGCCCAGGGCUCAACCUUGGAAUUGCCUUUGAUACUGGCUGUCUUGAGUUUGGGAGAGGUGAGUGGAACUCCGAGUGUAGAGGUGAAAUUCGUAGAUAUUCGGAAGAACACCAGUGGCGAAGGCGACUCACUGGCCCAAUACUGACGCUGAGGCGCGAAAGCUAGGGGAGCGAACGGGAUUAGAAACCCUGGUAGUCC
RNAcentral lists this ribosomal RNA (425 nucleotides) under uncultured bacterium. Its description in RNAcentral is "partial 16S ribosomal RNA". It matches the Rfam family "Bacterial small subunit ribosomal RNA", at positions 354 to 796 of the family's 1533-position model. The record is from RNAcentral.